GGACUACUCGGGUAUCUAAUCCUGUUUGCUCCCCACGCUUUCGCGUCUCAGCGUCAGUCACCGUCCAGAAGGCCGCCUUCGCCACCGGUAUUCCGCUUGAUAUCUACGAAUUUCACCUCUACACCAAGCAUUCUACCUUCCUCUCCGGGACUCCAGCUGCGCAGUUUCGGGUGCACUUCCAUGGUUGAGCCAUGGGAUUUCACAUCCGACUUGCGUAGCCGCCUACACGCGCUUUACGCCCAGUAAUUCCGAACAACGUUUGCACCCUCUGUCUUACCGCGGCUGCUGGCAC
Molecule: ribosomal RNA, 292 nt
Filed under: uncultured bacterium
Lineage: Bacteria
Description: partial 16S ribosomal RNA
Source: RNAcentral